This 301-nucleotide ribosomal RNA is filed under the name uncultured bacterium. RNAcentral describes it as "partial 16S ribosomal RNA". It matches the Rfam family "Bacterial small subunit ribosomal RNA", at positions 509 to 809 of the family's 1533-position model. The record is from RNAcentral.
CAGUAGCCGCGGUAAUACAGAGGGUGCGAGCGUUAAUCGGAUUUACUGGGCGUAAAGCGUGCGUAGGCGGCUUCUUAAGUCGGAUGUGAAAUCCCUGAGCUUAACUUAGGAAUUGCAUUCGAUACUGGGAAGCUAGAGUAUGGGAGAGGAUGGUAGAAUUCCAGGUGUAGCGGUGAAAUGCGUAGAGAUCUGGAGGAAUACCGAUGGCGAAGGCAGCCAUCUGGCCUAAUACUGACGCUGAGGUACGAAAGCAUGGGGAGCAAACAGGAUUAGAUACCCGAGUAGUCCCUGUCUUUUAUAC